UCAAACUGUCGUCGACGACAUUUGAAAGCGUUUCAAUCAAACCAAUCGAAGCGUAGCAAACGAACGGGCGAACAACCAAAUGAGUUGAUUGCAGAUGAAACACUCGUAAAAUUGCGUAGAAACAAUAACAAUAUUUUAACUCCUCCAGUGUGUUUGGCGAAAAAUUGAACAAAAAAAUAUUGAAUAAAAUAACAAAAACAAAACAUUUUGACGAAAUGUUAACAUCACGAAAUAUCAGUCUCGGCCUGUUGGCCUUAACUGUCAUCUGCGCGACAAAUUGUCUAAAUGUAGAGGUAAGAGUCUGAACUAUGAAUAUAUUUGUAUAUCAAGUAAGUACUAAAAUUCAUACAAUAAAAGUAAAGUGGGGAAAAGCGGCACACAAAAAUUUAU
Molecule: long non-coding RNA, 390 nt
Organism: Anastrepha ludens (Mexican fruit fly)
Lineage: Eukaryota; Metazoa; Arthropoda; Insecta; Diptera; Tephritidae
Exons: 3
Source: RefSeq, a predicted model, not a curated record